CCUACGGGUGGCAGCAGUAGGGAAUAUUGCUCAAUGGGGGAAACCCUGAAGCAGCAACGCCGCGUGGAGGAUGAAGGUUUUCGGAUUGUAAACUCCUUUUGUUAGAGAAGAUAAUGACGGUAUCUAACGAAUAAGCACCGGCUAACUCCGUGCCAGCAGCCGCGGCAAUACGGCGGGUGCAAGCGUUACUCGGAAUCAAUGGGCGUAAAGAGCGCGUAGGCGGGAUAGCAAGUCAGAUGUGAAAUCCUAUGGCUUAACCAUAGAACUGCAUUUGAAACUGUUAUUCUAGAGUAUUGGAGAGGUAGGCGGAAUUCUUGGUGUAGGGGUAAAAUCCGUAGAGAUCAAGAAGAAUACUCAUGGCGAAGGCGACCUGCUGGAACAUAACUGACGCUGAUGCGCGAAAGCGUGGGGAGCAAACAGGAUUAGAUACCCGUGUAGUC
RNAcentral lists this ribosomal RNA (440 nucleotides) under uncultured bacterium. Its description in RNAcentral is "partial 16S ribosomal RNA". It matches the Rfam family "Bacterial small subunit ribosomal RNA", at positions 338 to 795 of the family's 1533-position model. The record is from RNAcentral.